This 492-nucleotide ribosomal RNA is filed under the name uncultured bacterium. RNAcentral describes it as "partial 16S ribosomal RNA". It matches the Rfam family "Bacterial small subunit ribosomal RNA", at positions 29 to 507 of the family's 1533-position model. The record is from RNAcentral.
AGUGAACGCUGGCGGUAGGCCUAACACAUGCAAGUCGAACGGCAGCACAGUAAUUUCUUGCUCUUACGUUUUGCGAGUGGCGUACGGUUUCGUUAUACAUCGUAAUCUACUUUUUCUUGGGUGAUAUCGUAGGUAAACUUACGCUAAUACCUCAUACGACCUACGUUUGUAAUCAUUGGAUCUUCUGACCUUGCUCGAUUGUAUGAGCCGAUGUCGGAUUAGCUAGUUGGCGGGGUAAAGGCCCACCAAGGCGACGAUCCGUAGCUGGUCUGAGAGGAUGAUCAGCAACACUGGAAAUGAGAAACGGAACAGAAAACUAAGGGAGGAAGAAGUGGGGAAUAUUGGACAAUGGGCGAAAGCAGGAUACAGCAAUACCGAGUGGGUGAAGAAGGACUUAGGGGUGGAAAGCAAUUUUGGUGGGAAAGAAAAGAAGAAGGUUAAAAAAAAGAGGUAAUGACGGUAACAAAAGAAUAAGAACGGGCUAACUUCGUG